GGCUCAAUGGUCUAGUCGUAUGAUUCUUGCUUUGGGUAAAACGCACUGCAAGAGGCCCGUAAGUUCAACCGCACACCCACUGAAAGUUCCAUAUCUAACACAAACCAGCGGGUUCAAAUCCCGGUUGAGCCC
Diaporthe sp. PMI_573 is the source of this 132-nucleotide non-coding RNA. The record is from the annotation of a GenBank genome assembly. Lineage: Eukaryota; Fungi; Ascomycota; Sordariomycetes; Diaporthales; Diaporthaceae.